UACGGGGGGGGCAAGCGUUGUUCGGAUUUACUGGGCGUAAAGGGCGCGUAGGCGGUCACUACAAGUCAGUUGUGAAAUCUCUGGGCUUAACUCAGAACGGUCAACUGAUACUGUUGGACUAGAGUGCAGAAGGGGCAACUGGAAUUCUCGGUGUAGCGGUGAAAUGCGUAGAUAUCGAGAGGAACACCUGCGGCGAAGGCGGGUUGCUGGGCCGACACUGACGCUGAGGCGCGAAAGCCAGGGGAGCGAACGGG
This 254-nucleotide ribosomal RNA is filed under the name uncultured bacterium. RNAcentral's name for it is "partial 16S ribosomal RNA". It matches the Rfam family "Bacterial small subunit ribosomal RNA", at positions 524 to 776 of the family's 1533-position model. The record is from RNAcentral.